This 391-nucleotide ribosomal RNA is filed under the name uncultured Chrysophyceae. Its description in RNAcentral is "SSU rRNA". It matches the Rfam family "Eukaryotic small subunit ribosomal RNA", at positions 585 to 972 of the family's 1831-position model. The record is from RNAcentral. Lineage: Eukaryota; Chrysophyceae.
CCAGCUCCAAUAGCGUAUACUAAAGUUGUUGCAGUUAAAAAGCUCGUAGUUGACUUUCUGGUCGUGGUCCCUGGUCCGCGCCUCACGGCGUGUGUUUACUGGGUUGUCCGCAGCCAUCUUCGGGGGCGUUUUCGCAUCUGGCAUUCACUUGUCGGGUGCGGGGAUCCUCGUCAUUUACUGUGAGUAAAAUAGAGUGUUCAAAGCAGGCUUAUGCCGUUGAAUAUAUUAGCAUGGAAUAAUAAGAUAAGACUUUGGUCUAUUUUGUUGGUUUGUGUCCAAAGUAAUGAGCAAUAGGGACAGUUGGGGGUAUUCGUAUUCCAUUGUCAGAGGUGAAAUUCUUGGAUUUAUGGAAGACGAACUACUGCGAAAGCAUUUACCAAGGAUGUUUUCA